ACCCUUUGUCUCCGUCCGACGGCGGCACUAUGGAGGAGUUUGCGCGGUGGGAGACGGGAGAGGCUCUGCCGGAGGAUUACGACGCAGAGGCGAGUCCCGUGGACAUGUCGAAAGGAGAGCCGCUGCCGACCUCGUCAGGUGUGAUGCUGGAGAAUAUCGGCUGGCUGUCCGAGGAGACUAUGGACUUUAACGUGACGGCGACCUUCACGGUUGCGUGGACAGACGAUCGGCUGGCGAACCUG
This is a long non-coding RNA of Branchiostoma floridae (Florida lancelet), 242 nucleotides long. RefSeq lists it as uncharacterized. The record is from RefSeq and is a predicted model, not a curated record. Lineage: Eukaryota; Metazoa; Chordata; Leptocardii; Amphioxiformes; Branchiostomatidae. The transcript is spliced from 3 exons.